RNAcentral lists this ribosomal RNA (259 nucleotides) under uncultured bacterium. RNAcentral's name for it is "partial 16S ribosomal RNA". It matches the Rfam family "Bacterial small subunit ribosomal RNA", at positions 524 to 778 of the family's 1533-position model. The record is from RNAcentral.
UACGAAGGGAGCUAGCGUUGUUCGGAAUCACUGGGCGUAAAGCGUGCGUAGGCGGCUUCUCAAGUCAGGGGUGAAAUCCCACAGCUUAACUGUGGAACUGCCUUUGAAACUGAGAGGCUAGAAUGUGAGAGGGGAUGGCGGGAAUUCCUAAUGUAGAGGUGAAAUUCGUAAGAUAUUAGGAGGAACACCCGUGGCGAAAGCGGCCAAUCUGGAUCACAAUUGACGCUGAUGUACGAAAGCGUGGGAUAGCAAACGUAGG